RNAcentral lists this ribosomal RNA (473 nucleotides) under uncultured bacterium. RNAcentral describes it as "bacterial SSU rRNA". It matches the Rfam family "Bacterial small subunit ribosomal RNA", at positions 328 to 794 of the family's 1533-position model. The record is from RNAcentral.
GAGCCAGACUCCUACGGGAGGCAGCAGUGGGGAAUAUUGGGCAAUGGGCGAAAGCCUGACGGAGCAGCGCCGCGUGAUCGAAUGAAGGCCUUCGGGUUGUAAAGAUCUGUUGACAGGGACGAAUAAGCAAUGCGAAUAGUUUUGUGUAUGACGGUACCUGUUUAGAAAGCUCCGGCUAACUACGUGCCAGCAGCCGCGGUAAUACGUAGGGAGCAAGCGUUGUCCGGAAUUACUGGGCGUAAAGGGCGCGUAGGUGGGCGCUUAAGUCAGGUGUGAAAACUCCGGGCUCAACCUGGAGACUGCACUUGAAACUGGGUGUCUUGAGGGCAGGAGAGGAAAGUGGAAUUCCUAGGGUAGCGGUGAAAUGCGUAGAUAUUAGGAGGAACACCAGUGGCGAAGGCGGAUUGCUGGACAGUAACUGACGCUGAGGCGCGAAAGCGUGGGGAGCAAACAGGAUUAGAUACCCGGGUAGC